ACGCUGCCUUUGAGCUCCCGUACACCUUCUCGUGGUGUGUGUGUGUGUGUGGGGGGGUGUCUUUAAGCUGCGGUGCCAUAACACAUUGCUGGUGCAUAACUGGGGCUGCCUGCCCUUCAUAGGCGGCCCUUUUAACCGCUAGCUACAGGC
Non-coding RNA from Arvicanthis niloticus (Nile rat), 150 nucleotides. NCBI's taxonomy places the organism in Eukaryota, Metazoa, Chordata, Mammalia, Rodentia, Muridae. The record is from RefSeq and is a predicted model, not a curated record.